UACAGAGGUCCCAAGCGUUGUUCGGAUUCACUGGGCGUAAAGGGUGCGUAGGUGGCCAGGUAAGUUUGAUGUGAAAGCUCGGAGCUUAACUCCGAAAUGGCAUUGAAUACUAUCUGGCUGGAGGGUCGGAGGGGAGACUGGAAUUCUCGGUGUAGCAGUGAAAUGCGUAGAUAUCGAGAGGAACACCAGUGGCGAAGGCGAGUCUCUGGACGACUCCUGACACUGAGGCACGAAAGCCAGGGGAGCAAACAGG
RNAcentral lists this ribosomal RNA (253 nucleotides) under uncultured bacterium. RNAcentral's name for it is "partial 16S ribosomal RNA". It matches the Rfam family "Bacterial small subunit ribosomal RNA", at positions 524 to 776 of the family's 1533-position model. The record is from RNAcentral.